CUAGGCAAUAUCAGAAUCUUCACAUUGAUAAGCCAAUCCAAAUACUAAUUUUUGACAUGAAAAAACUGAUGAAAAGCCUAGUAAUCGAGUCAUGAAAUGUUGGUGCCUCCUUCAGAAAAGCAUAAAAAGAAUGCUAUUUCUCAAUUUCCCUUAAGUUUCCUCAAGACACUAAUACAAAUAUAUUAUACAAAGGCAUCAAAAGUAAGAAGUAAACUAUAGCAAAUAGUCUGCCAAAGACCUGCCUCACCCUGUUAAACCACCUUAAUCUACAUUAAUAAUAUUUAAGUUUCUAACACGUGAAUAAUGCUCCAAAUGAUCACAUUCACAAUCUUUUUUUAAUGGUCUCUUGUUAAAAUUGUCCGAGAGUAUGCUGUUCUGUCCAAACAGGCUGGUGCACAAGGACGUGUUUCGUUGCUGCAACACAAUUUUGAAUUUUCAUUCUAAAAUUGGAAGAUGUAGAAGAUUUCACAUAGGAAUAAUACAGGGUCAAUUGCUAACCAUCUCCAAUUGUCGAGCUCUUUUCAUAAGGGCGUUGGACAAGAAUUUACCAGCAUGACAAUUUGGAAGUCAGAGCCAUUCUCACCAGUGAACUUUCCUGUGAAUUCUGUACCGUGUCAAAAUUCACACUAGUCAAUGUUUGUCGCCUGAAAUCUAUCGUAUUGCUCAACCAACAUCUGAAUGAGAGAUGUGGCGGCCAAAUCAACAAUUAUGCAAUAGCUUGCUCACUGGAAGUGAAGGUCACGUGGGAUUUGUUUAAGCCUUUGGUGGAUUUCAGAUUAGGAGGCCAUCGCUUCUGUCAAAUUUCUGGCCGGAGUUUUAUCAAACUGUCUUCAGGCACCCCAUCGACCAAUAGGCGUUCCCGGGUCCUAAUUGGCAGUUUGCAUUGUCUUUACGCGUCUUGGCACAUUUCUCUCGCAAAAAGGAUUCGGAAUUAAAAAGUUAAGAAUUAUUCUACAGGUUAAUCAUCACAGCAUGAAAUUAUCUGCAUAAGUUGAAAACAAUCACCUUUCUAAUUGUUCAAUAUUGGUGUGCAUAUGUAAGUUCAUUUAGUAUUUCAAUGUAUUCGACAAUCAAAAGAAUCAAGCAUGGAAUCAACAAUGAAAUCAACACGAAAGAACAAUUUCAAUUCAAAGAAUAAAAGAAUCAAGUUGAGAUUACACUGUACAUCUUCUCUAACCCCCCC
RNAcentral lists this long non-coding RNA (1183 nucleotides) under Olea europaea subsp. europaea. Lineage: Eukaryota; Viridiplantae; Streptophyta; Magnoliopsida; Lamiales; Oleaceae. The record is from RNAcentral.